Molecule: ribosomal RNA, 253 nt
Filed under: uncultured bacterium
Lineage: Bacteria
Description: partial 16S ribosomal RNA
Rfam family: Bacterial small subunit ribosomal RNA
Source: RNAcentral
UACAGAGGUCCCAAGCGUUGUUCGGAUUCACUGGGCGUAAAGGGUGCGUAGGCGGCCAGGAAAGUUUGAUGUGAAAUCUCCGAGCUCAACUCGGAAAUUGCAUUGAAUACUUCCUGGCUAGAGGAUUGGAAGGGAGACUGGAAUUCUCGGUGUAGCAGUGAAAUGCGUAGAUAUCGAGAGGAACACCAGUGGCGAAGGCGAGUCUCUGGACAAUUCCUGACGCUGAGGCACGAAAGCCAGGGGAGCAAACGGG